GGGUCAGUAGGUUGGUCGUGCCACCGGUACGUACUGGUCUCACUGAUUCCCCCUUCCUGAAGAACCGUAAUGCCAUUAAUUUGGUGUUGCGGGGAAACAGGACUGUUACUUUGAAAAAAUUAGAGUGUUUAAAGCAAGCUAACGCUUGAAUACAUUAGCAUGGAAUAAUGAAAUAGGACGAUCGAUCCUAUUUUGUUGGUUUCCAGGAUUGACGUA
This 216-nucleotide ribosomal RNA is filed under the name Glomeromycotina sp. RNAcentral's name for it is "partial small subunit ribosomal RNA". The stretch from base 75 to 216 matches the Rfam family "Eukaryotic small subunit ribosomal RNA", at positions 721 to 864 of the family's 1831-position model. The record is from RNAcentral. Lineage: Eukaryota; Fungi; Glomeromycota.